Molecule: ribosomal RNA, 379 nt
Filed under: uncultured bacterium
Lineage: Bacteria
Description: bacterial SSU rRNA
Rfam family: Bacterial small subunit ribosomal RNA
Source: RNAcentral
GUAGUCCACGCCCUAAACGAUGCGAACUGGACGUUGGUUGCAACUUGGCAAUCAGUGUCGAAGCUAACGCGUUAAGUUCGCCGCCUGGGGAGUACGGUCGCAAGACUGAAACUCAAAGGAAUUGACGGGGGCCCGCACAAGCGGUGGAGUAUGUGGUUUAAUUCGAUGCAACGCGAAGAACCUUACCUGGCCUUGACAUCCAGUGAACUUUCCAGAGAUGGAUUGGUGCCUUCGGGAACACUGAGACAGGUGCUGCAUGGCUGUCGUCAGCUCGUGUCGUGAGAUGUUGGGUUAAGUCCCGCAACGAGCGCAACCCUUGUCCUUAGUUGCCAGCACGUAAAGGUGGGAACUCUAAGGAGACUGCCGGUGACAAACCGGA